UACGAAGGGGGCUAGCGUUGCUCGGAAUCACUGGGCGCAAAGGGUGCGUAGGCGGGUUUUUAAGUCAGAGGUGAAAUCCUGGAGCUCAACUCCAGAACUGCCUUUGAUACUGAAGAUCUUGAGUCCGGAAGAGGUGAGUGGAACUGCGAGUGUAGAGGUGAAAUUCGUAGAUAUUCGCAAGAACACCAGUGGCGGAGGCGGCUCACUGGUCCGGUACUGACGCUGAGGCACGAAAGCGUGGGGAGCAAACAGG
RNAcentral lists this ribosomal RNA (253 nucleotides) under uncultured bacterium. RNAcentral describes it as "partial 16S ribosomal RNA". It matches the Rfam family "Bacterial small subunit ribosomal RNA", at positions 524 to 776 of the family's 1533-position model. The record is from RNAcentral.